GUUCAAUGAGAUCCUAAAACCUACAGCCAGAUCCUUAGCAGAUCCUUCAGAUCCUUAAACAAAUCCUUCAGGUUCAGUGAGAUCCUAAAAACCUACAGCUUGUUCCUGAACCGGAUCCUUCAGGUUCAAUGAGAUCCUAAAAACCUACAGACAGAUACUUAACCAGAUC
This is a long non-coding RNA of Thalassophryne amazonica, 169 nucleotides long. RefSeq lists it as uncharacterized. The record is from RefSeq and is a predicted model, not a curated record. The transcript is spliced from 3 exons. NCBI's taxonomy places the organism in Eukaryota, Metazoa, Chordata, Actinopteri, Batrachoidiformes, Batrachoididae.